CCCGUCUCAGAGAAUCUCGAGCCGCGAGAGAAGAGCGUUUUACUGGCGGACCGCCUCACCGUGGACCACGUGUGUGAGAGUGGCGUGUUGCAGUCGUCUGCGGUUCAUGUGGUUUGCUCUGAUGGUUCUGACUGUCCUCUGUGUGGCUCUGCAGAUGCUGGGAGUGGUCCGACAGGCCAGGAGCUCCAAAGUUUUGAAACUUGUUGGCGAGCAGCUGGUCCAAAUGCCUGCAGAAAUCCACAGGCCCAUGAAACACAAAGACUGGGAAAACCUCUGGUCUGUCUCAGCCGUCAUUGUUGAGGAACCUGUAGACCAGCAUCU
This is a long non-coding RNA of Danio aesculapii, 321 nucleotides long. RefSeq lists it as uncharacterized. Lineage: Eukaryota; Metazoa; Chordata; Actinopteri; Cypriniformes; Danionidae. The record is from RefSeq and is a predicted model, not a curated record. The transcript is spliced from 3 exons.